UGAUUCUCCUGGGUCAGCCUCCGGAGUAGCUGGGAUUACAGAUUUCUUCCCGGUCAGCCCCAAACACUGAAUGUAAAUACGGUCCAACAUCAACCUGCAAACGAACACUGACAUGAAAGUGCAGUUGGAAAGGAUCUCGCAAAGGAACAGAAUCUGGUGAUCCUAAUCGUAAUGAACGUGAUCGCCGGGUAUUGAGAGCUUGCAGGUACCAGGGCUCCGGCACUACGUGUUUCACAGGGGCCACUCGGUAGACCUCUUGGUGACCUUGAGGUCAGGUACCACGUUCCCAUUUUACAGAGGAGGAAACUGAGAUAACCUACGACAGCGAAAAGGUAGCAGAGCUGGGACUGGUGCCCAGGCUCGCCGAGUGGAAAAGCCCUCGGCCACCGUGGAGAGCUCGCUUCCUGUGGUCUGAAGCGUCGCCCCUGCACCGGCUUCUGCUGCCAAGGAUGGCUUUUCCUCACUGGUGCCCACCUACGCUCACUUGUGUCAUGUGGUUAAGCCCUUUUGGCAACAUAAGACCUUUCCCAAGAAUGUGCCUCGGUGCAGAGGAAGACGGUGGGGGCAGGCCCCCUCCCCGGGAUGCUCCACCCUCCCUGACCUCACACGGGUGCAACCUGGGCCGUGGCCGAGACCUGCUGUGUGGCAGACAAUGGGAAGCCUGUGUGUCGUCCUGGGUGCCGGAUUUAGACAAUAUUUAGCUUUCCCUUGGUGGAAAAGCCUUUCCCCUCCUGCUUUGGGCAGGAACUGGUUCCUGUUGGGCGGGGCCUGGCUGCUGCCCCACCCCCACCCGGCCGGGCACCUUGACCGGCAGCUCUCCGGGCUGCUCCCUGCCUGUGUCCCUGAGCACUGACUCCAGAGGUUUAAUCAUUAACGGGCACGUUUGGCCUUCGGUCGUGGGCUGGAAUUUGGGACCUGUGCCCGGGAACAAUGAUCUCCGACACAUUAUUUUGUGUAAAAUCACUUUUAGCUGCCAUUAGCUAAUAAAGCUGGAAUAAAGUGAGGUCCAUUAACC
RNAcentral lists this long non-coding RNA (1015 nucleotides) under Homo sapiens (human). Its description in RNAcentral is "HSALNT0379512". Lineage: Eukaryota; Metazoa; Chordata; Mammalia; Primates; Hominidae. The record is from RNAcentral.